UCCUGGCUCAGGAUGAACGCUGGCGGCGUGCUUAACACAUGCAAGUCGAACGAGGCUUGCCAUCGGAAGUUUCGGAUGGAAGAAGGCAAGACCGAGUGGCGGACGGGUGAGUAACGCGUGGGGAACCUGCCCCAUUCCGGGGGAUACCAGUUGGAAACGACUGUUAAUACCGCAUAAGCGCACGGCAUCGCAUGAUGCAGUGUGAAAAACCACGGUGGAAUGGGAUGGCCCCGCGUCUGAUUAGCCAGUUGGCAGGGUAACGGCCUACCAAAGCGACGAUCAGUAGCCGGCCUGAGAGGGCGACCGGCCACAUUGGGACUGAGACACGGCCCAAACUCCUACGGGAGGCAGCAGUGGGGAAUAUUGCACAAUGGGGGAAACCCUGAUGCAGCCGACGCCGCGUGAGUGAAGAAGUAUUUCGGUAUGUAAAGCUCUAUCAGCAGGGAAGAAGAUGGGACGGUACCUGCACAAGAAGCCCCGGCUAACUACGUGCCAGCAGCCGC
This 503-nucleotide ribosomal RNA is filed under the name uncultured bacterium. RNAcentral describes it as "bacterial SSU rRNA". It matches the Rfam family "Bacterial small subunit ribosomal RNA", at positions 17 to 518 of the family's 1533-position model. The record is from RNAcentral.